AUAUUAUGACCACCGAUUCGUCACCGCAAUGGUAAACUUUUAGAUCUCAAUAAUAUAUACGUACAAAAUGGACGUCACAUCACGCGAGAAAUUGUUUUAUCACCAUAGUCAUAUAUAGGUAACCCAUUAAUAAAAAUGAAGCUUAAUAAUAUCGUAGCUUCUAAUUUGGAUCAAAUAUCCACCCCCAUACUCUGUACGCCGAAAUAUCAAAUUACCUUGCAGAAAAUAACGGAAGUUUUCGUUAUGCGCAGAAACUUUUGACGUUACUUCAUC
This is a non-coding RNA of Cinara cedri, 273 nucleotides long. NCBI's taxonomy places the organism in Eukaryota, Metazoa, Arthropoda, Insecta, Hemiptera, Aphididae. The record is from the annotation of a GenBank genome assembly.